Molecule: unclassified non-coding RNA, 245 nt
Filed under: Hevea brasiliensis (rubber tree)
Lineage: Eukaryota; Viridiplantae; Streptophyta; Magnoliopsida; Malpighiales; Euphorbiaceae
Source: RNAcentral
UACAUAGUUUAGUGAAUACCCUUGUAAAGCUUCUAUAGGUUUUGCAACUCAUCCAUUCUCUUAACUUUCAUAUGUUAGCGAAGGCCAUUACAAGUCUUCGAUAAGUUUUCCAGGCUAGCUUCUUCCUUUGACUAUUCCAGCUAAGGUGAAGUUACUGUGAGCAUACUACCUCUACAGACAACACAAACCCAAUGCAAUCAAAGCCGCGGCAUCUUUAUGGAACACUAAGUUGCAACAUCUUUUUG